GAUGAACGCUGGCGGCGUGCCUAAUACAUGCAAGUCGAGCGAACGGACGAGAAGCUUGCUUCUCUGAUGUUAGCGGCGGACGGGUGAGUAACACGUGGAUAACCUACCUAUAAGACUGGGAUAACUUCGGGAAACCGUAGCUAAUACCGGAUAAUAUUUUGAACCGCAUGGUUCAAAAGUGAAAGACGGUCUUGCUGUCACUUAUAGAUGGAUCCGCGCUGCAUUAGCUAGUUGGUAAGGUAACGGCUUACCAAGGCAACGAUGCAUAGCCGACCUGAGAGGGUGAUCGGCCACACUGGAACUGAGACACGGUCCAGACUCCUACGGGAGGCAGCAGUAGGGAAUCUUCCGCAAUGGGCGAAAGCCUGACGGAGCAACGCCGCGUGAGUGAUGAAGGUCUUCGGAUCGUAAAACUCUGUUAUUAGGGAAGAACAUAUGUGUAAGUAACUGUGCACAUCUUGUCGGUACCUAAUCAGAAAGCCACGGCUAACUACGUG
Molecule: ribosomal RNA, 497 nt
Filed under: uncultured bacterium
Lineage: Bacteria
Description: partial 16S ribosomal RNA
Rfam family: Bacterial small subunit ribosomal RNA
Source: RNAcentral